RNAcentral lists this ribosomal RNA (253 nucleotides) under uncultured bacterium. RNAcentral describes it as "partial 16S ribosomal RNA". It matches the Rfam family "Bacterial small subunit ribosomal RNA", at positions 524 to 776 of the family's 1533-position model. The record is from RNAcentral.
UACGAAGGGGGCUAGCGUUGUUCGGAAUCACUGGGCGUAAAGGGCGCGUAGGCGGCCGAUCAAGUCAGAGGUGAAAGCCCCAGGCUCAACCUGGGAAUUGCCUUUGAUACUGUUCGGCUAGAGACCGGAAGAGGUAAGUGGAACUGCGAGUGUAGAGGUGAAAUUCGUAGAUAUUCGCAAGAACACCAGUGGCGAAGGCGGCUUACUGGUCCGGUUCUGACACUGAGGGACGAAAGCUAGGGGAGCGAAUGGG